RNAcentral lists this ribosomal RNA (382 nucleotides) under uncultured bacterium. RNAcentral describes it as "bacterial SSU rRNA". It matches the Rfam family "Bacterial small subunit ribosomal RNA", at positions 143 to 507 of the family's 1533-position model. The record is from RNAcentral.
AUAACGUCCGGGAAACCGGAGCUAAUACGGGAUGAUCAUUUGAAUCGCAUGAUUGAAAUGUAAAAGUGGGGAGUAAUCCUCACACUAUGAGAUGGGCCCGCGGCGCAUUAGCUAGUUGGUAAGGUAAUGGCUUACCAAGGCAACGAUGCGUAGCCGACCUGAGAGGGUGAUCGGCCACACUGGAACUGAGACACGGUCCAGACUCCUACGGGAGGCAGCAGUAGGGAAUCAUCCGCAAUGGGCGAAAGCCUGACGGUGCAACGCCGCGUGAACGAUGAAGGUUUUCGGAUCGUAAAGUUCUGUUAUGAGGGAAGAACAAGUGCCGUUCGAAUAGGGCGGCACCUUGACGGUACCUCACGAGAAAGCCCCGGCUAACUACGUG